GGUCAAUGUUGAGUGGCGAAAGGGCUGGCUCCCCAGCUCACCUCCCUGCAUGCUCGGCAUCCCCAGCUGCCUCCCAUCACUGCUGUCCAGCUCCAGUAGUGGGGUGGUGGUUAGAGGGGCAGCUGACACUCAUGGUGUCCCAGGCCUGUGUUCCUUUGGUAAGUUCAGUGAAGACUGUUAUUGGCAUCCUGCAGCUGCUCUCAGAGGGAUUUGAUGGUUGGGAGUGCUGGAUCUGUGGUUAUGACCUGACAUUUCAAGCUGAGCCC
Non-coding RNA from Manis pentadactyla (Chinese pangolin), 266 nucleotides. RefSeq annotates it as small Cajal body-specific RNA 6. The transcript has a single exon. The record is from RefSeq and is a predicted model, not a curated record. NCBI's taxonomy places the organism in Eukaryota, Metazoa, Chordata, Mammalia, Pholidota, Manidae.